CCUGUGCCCUGCCUUUUCCCCAUGCUCUUAAGGCAUUUAUUCGGUAAGAGAGAUAGCGGGAAAGGCUCUAGAUGGGGCUUUUUGCCUCUCCGGCAGUGGAGGCUACCCCUCCAGUCUCCCAAGCACAUGGGCCAAGGGAAGUUUUCUGUGGUCUCUCGCCCUGCCCCUUUGGCAUUAUACUCUCUCAUUAGUUAGUACGUGGUGAUGGUGGUGGAGAAGAGCCUGUGAAGUUGUACAAACACUCUUUAUGUCUGUGGCUCCCAGGGGCUCCUAUACUUUCAGCCUAUCAAUCAAGACCACAUCCUUUCAAAAGCUUAUAGAGCAGAAGUAGACUCCUACCACGCGUUCAGCUGGUGUCCUUUGACUGCUGCUUUGCUCAGUUCCACCUUGGAUGGCUUGCACUGCAUUUAACGGAAUAGACUUCUACAAUCCUUAACAGAACAUGGCCAUCUGGGGUCUAGCUGCCAAAAUCGUUCCGUAUAUGCCAGAUGUCCAUAUCCUAAUUUCUGGGACCUAUGAAUAUGUUAAUUUGCAUGGCAUAAGGAACUCUGCAGAUACUAUUAAGAGCAUAAAUGUCAUUGGAAAUCUGAUUCCCCUUCUCUCC
Molecule: long non-coding RNA, 604 nt
Filed under: Homo sapiens (human)
Lineage: Eukaryota; Metazoa; Chordata; Mammalia; Primates; Hominidae
Description: HSALNT0045588
Source: RNAcentral